This is a long non-coding RNA of Mastomys coucha (southern multimammate mouse), 673 nucleotides long. RefSeq lists it as uncharacterized. The transcript has 4 exons. The record is from RefSeq and is a predicted model, not a curated record. Lineage: Eukaryota; Metazoa; Chordata; Mammalia; Rodentia; Muridae.
GAAUUUUUUGAGUGAGUAUAAACAGAGGCAAGCCAGCCCUCCUGCCCCAUCUCAGGAGGAUUAUGUAAACCUCUGAGCUUUCUCUGGCUGCUGUAUUUUGCCUUUACAGAGUCUAUCUGGUUAAGGAUAGCUCGCCUCACUCUCUCGGAGUGUGGUGCAGGAACCGCAACAAGUUUUGCUGAGCAGCAUUUAUUUAAACUUCUCAAGUUUCCCAAAAUUCUGUUUCACCAUUGUUGAAAAUCAAGUGGAGACCUGAGAGAAGGUGAAACCUUUCUGGACCCAAGGCCUGCCUUGCUGUUGAGCCUCAUUCUCUGCCUUGCUUCUAGAGAUGUGGGACUGUGACAUCACUGUUUGAUGGCUUCCUUUGAGCACUGAAGGCCAUGAAUGGGAGCGUGCAUAGUUUCAUUAACACACCAUCCUGAUACCUGAGGUGCUGAGCCUGCUUUCUCCAAGUGAGCUGAUAGUGACAACCAUCACAAAAGCCUGUUCUUCUCUACUCACCAUUGCUUUGCCUGUGUCUUGCUGUCCAUCAGCCUCCCUGGUUGAUAGAACACCCGUAACCAAUACCAGUGACUGAACAUGAAGAAGAUCCCUAAAACAAGAUGAGCUGAUCAAGGUAAAAGAACAAGAUAUAGGACUCUCAGCUCCUCCAGCCCUAUGCCUGCCUAGAUGC